This 497-nucleotide ribosomal RNA is filed under the name uncultured bacterium. RNAcentral's name for it is "partial 16S ribosomal RNA". It matches the Rfam family "Bacterial small subunit ribosomal RNA", at positions 28 to 507 of the family's 1533-position model. The record is from RNAcentral.
GACGAACGCUGGCGGCGUGCCUAAUACAUGCAAGUUGAGCGCUGAAGGUUGGUACUUGUACCGACUGGAUGAGCAGCGAACGGGUGAGUAACGCGUGGGGAAUCUGCCUUUGAGCGGGGGACAACAUUUGGAAACGAAUGCUAAUACCGCAUAAAAACUUUAAACACAAGUUUUAAGUUUGAAAGAUGCAAUUGCAUCACUCAAAGAUGAUCCCGCGUUGUAUUAGCUAGUUGGUGAGGUAAAGGCUCACCAAGGCGAUGAUACAUAGCCGACCUGAGAGGGUGAUCGGCCACAUUGGGACUGAGACACGGCCCAAACUCCUACGGGAGGCAGCAGUAGGGAAUCUUCGGCAAUGGACGAAAGUCUGACCGAGCAACGCCGCGUGAGUGAAGAAGGUUUUCGGAUCGUAAAACUCUGUUGGUAGAGAAGAACGUUGGUGAGAGUGGAGAGCUCAUCAAGUGACGGUAACUACCCAAAAAGGGACGGCUAACUACGUG